Molecule: ribosomal RNA, 510 nt
Filed under: uncultured bacterium
Lineage: Bacteria
Description: partial 16S ribosomal RNA
Rfam family: Bacterial small subunit ribosomal RNA
Source: RNAcentral
GACGAACGCUGGCGGCGUGCUUAACACAUGCAAGUCGAACGAAGAGCGAUGGAAGCUUGCUUCUAUCAAUCUUAGUGGCGAACGGGUGAGUAACGCGUAAUCAACCUGCCCUUCAGAGGGGGACAACAGUUGGAAACGACUGCUAAUACCGCAUACGAUCUAAACUCGGCAUCGAGGAUAGAUGAAAGGUGGCCUCUACAUGUAAGCUAUCACUGAAGGAGGGGAUUGCGUCUGAUUAGCUAGUUGGAGGGGUAACGGCCCACCAAGGCGAUGAUCAGUAGCCGGUCUGAGAGGAUGAACGGCCACAUUGGGACUGAGACACGGCCCAGACUCCUACGGGAGGCAGCAGUGGGGAAUCUUCCGCAAUGGACGAAAGUCUGACGGAGCAACGCCGCGUGAGUGAUGACGGCCUUCGGGUUGUAAAGCUCUGUUAAUCGGGACGAAAGGCCUUCUUGCGAAUAGGGAGAAGGAUUGACGGUACCGGAAGAGAAAGCCACGGCUAACUACGUG